This is a non-coding RNA of Salmo salar (Atlantic salmon), 1660 nucleotides long. The record is from RefSeq and is a predicted model, not a curated record. Lineage: Eukaryota; Metazoa; Chordata; Actinopteri; Salmoniformes; Salmonidae.
UGGAAUCUUCAGAGUGUUUUCUAUCCAAGUCUACUAAUAAUAUGCAUAUUGUAGUUUCUGGGCCCGAGGAGUAGGCAGUUUAAUUUGGGUACGUUUUUCAUCCGGGCGUGAAAAUACUGCCCCCUAUACCUUAACAGGAUUUAUUAACCCCCAAAAAUAGGACCAUUAUACUGGUAGUUACAGGUGUGGCUAUACAAAAUGUCACCAGAGAUGUUUCAACUGACCUGAUAUUGGUGAUACUAUCUUGUGUAAACGGGAGUCUCAUAAAAUGUCAGGGUCUGGGCGAGGUUAUGGAUAACUUCCGGGUCUCCCGUAAUCCCAUCCAAGGCUGUGGUCGUACCGUGAGCCCGGUGCUUGGAGAAAGGGCACUUUGGCUAAACUUAACAAAGAAAAAGUGGACCUCCUGGAAGCCCCUGUGACACCCAACGGAAACGCUCUCAGUAUAGUAAUGUAGGAUUUUAGGUGUUCUACACAUGAAAUUGUCAUUCCAAACUUUACCUGCAACUGUACAGUAUAUUCCAUUUUGUUGCGACUCAAGCAAUUCUUCUCUGUUCUAGCAGCAGGCUACAUGGAGAAUGUACCACAUCUAAAGACCUGCAAAAGCUAUACUGAGAGCGUUUCUGUUUCUAAAAGGAUGUAUUUGGGUGUUUUUGGAGCAUUUGAUCAUGUUUUUACAGAGCUCCCUUACUGCACAACAAGGAUGAGGAAGUUAAUAUCUAGUUGGGGAAGUUUCUUAAACACAAGUGAAAUCACACAAAAAAUAAAUUGUCUGCGCCCUUCUAGAACAUGCCAUUUACAUAAGAAAUGUAGAUUUUUUUUAAAAAGCAAACUUCUCCUUUAAUGUACCCUUUGCAUAAAUUGUGAUGUAGAAGUUAUAUACUGUAGUAGUUUUGCAAAUUUAAAUCCACUGUCAACCCUAUUCCUUUGCGGUAUCCCACUACGAACUGUGUACCGACACCUGUGGUACUAGCUGUGCCAGCCUGGUGGACUCCUUCACCUACUCUGCUAGCUGCUUCGAGGGCUGCUAGUGCAACGUGAGCUUCGUCUCUGACGGCGACAAGUGUGACUCCAUGGAUACGUGCGGAUACGUCUACGAAGGCCACUAUCUGAUGGGCUGGUGAGGUGUGAGAAGCUGAUCUGUGCCAGAGGAGAGUUCAGUGGGCUGAAGGACUGUCAGAGGAUGCCAAUGCAAGCAGGGGCACUGCAUGGUCCACCAUGGUAUCCACUUCACCUCCUUCAAUGGCAUGAGGAGGCCAUGGGGAUAGGGGUGUUCGAGGUGGCCUCUGUGUGACCAGACCUUUGGCCAGUGGUUCAUUGUGGUGGUGGAUGCACGCGUCUAGUAAGGGAGCCUAUCCCAAUGUGGCUACAGUCUAAGUGUUCUCCAUGGAUGUCACUGUCAACAGCCAGCACAACACCUGGAUCAACGGCCAGAAUGUCCAUCCCCAGCACUCCAGACAAUCAGCGUCGCCGACAGGACAGUGGUCAUCGAGAGGGUGUCCCCUACUCCAUCUCCCAGGAGCUCUUGGUUACUAUUGACAACCACCUGGCGGGCAAGGUGUGCGGUGCUGCGGCAACUACAACGGUAUUGUCAAGGAAGACAUAACAGCCAACAGGCAAUCCUCCACAGAUGUGACUGUGAUCGUUGGGGACUUCUCUAGCU